This is a long non-coding RNA of Dinoponera quadriceps, 334 nucleotides long. RefSeq lists it as uncharacterized. The transcript is spliced from 3 exons. The record is from RefSeq and is a predicted model, not a curated record. NCBI's taxonomy places the organism in Eukaryota, Metazoa, Arthropoda, Insecta, Hymenoptera, Formicidae.
GGCGUUUCGACGAAAAAUGAAGGUCUUCGGUAUACACUUGCUCUACCUGCUCUACUUCUUUCUACUGUACAUCGCGGCGACGAUGUGCAUGAGUAUUGGAAGUCCCGUGGCUGCAAUCGGCGGAAACCGUCAAGUGGCUUGUGGUGGUCGUGGUAGACCAUCUAAUAGCACUGGAUAACGAGAUAGAAAACAUGAAAGUAAGCUGAAGGCACAACAUAAGAAGUAUGGACCCGAGAAUUAUAGAGACGACCCUGAUGAAAUUUGGAACAUUUUUUUUCAAUCUCUACAUUGUAAUCAUAUGAUGUAUUAUUUAAAAUAUAAUACAUAAUAUUGC